UACAGAGGGUGCGAGCGUUGUUCGGAAUUAUUGGGCGUAAAGGGCGCGUAGGCGGUGCGGUAAGUCACCUGUGAAAUCCCCUGGCUCAACUGGGAGCUUGCAGGCGAAACUGCCGUGCUGGAGUGUGGGAGAGGUGCGUGGAAUUCCUGGUGUAGCGGUGAAAUGCGUAGAUAUCAGGAGGAACACCUGUGGCGAAAGCGGCGCACUGGACCACAACUGACGCUGAGGAGCGAAAGCGUGGGGAGCGAACAGG
This 253-nucleotide ribosomal RNA is filed under the name uncultured bacterium. RNAcentral's name for it is "partial 16S ribosomal RNA". It matches the Rfam family "Bacterial small subunit ribosomal RNA", at positions 524 to 776 of the family's 1533-position model. The record is from RNAcentral.